Molecule: ribosomal RNA, 406 nt
Filed under: uncultured bacterium
Lineage: Bacteria
Description: partial 16S ribosomal RNA
Rfam family: Bacterial small subunit ribosomal RNA
Source: RNAcentral
AUUGAACGCUGGCGGCAGGCCUAACACAUGCAAGUCGAACGAGUGGCGGACGUGUGAGUCAUGUCUGGGAAACUGCCCGAUGGAGGGGGAUACCUACUGGAAACGGUAGCUAAUACCGCAUACCAUCGGAUGUGCCCAGAUGGGAUUGGCUAGUAGGUGGUGUAACGGCUCACCUCGGCGACGAUCCCUAGCUGGUCUGAGAGGAGGAACAGCCACACUGGAACUGAGACACGGUCAAGACUCCUACGGGAGGCAGCAGUGGGGAAUAUUGGACAAUGGGCGCAAGCCUGAUGCAGCCAUGCAGCGUGUAUGAAGAAGGCCUUCGGGUUGUAAAGUACUUUCAGCGAGGAGGCGUUACUCGCAGAAGAAGCACCGGCUAACUCCGUGCCAGCCGCCGCGGUAAUAC